RNAcentral lists this unclassified non-coding RNA (146 nucleotides) under soil metagenome. RNAcentral describes it as "partial internal transcribed spacer 1". The record is from RNAcentral.
UAAUAAGUGUUUUAUGGCACUUUUUAAAUCCAUAUCCACCUUGUGUGCAAUGUCAGUCGAUCUUCUUCAUGGAGAUCGACCAAACAUCAACCUUUAUCUUUUAACUCUUUGUCUGAAAAGAUAUUAUGAAUAAACAAUUCAAAAUA